Molecule: long non-coding RNA, 36956 nt
Filed under: Malus domestica (apple)
Lineage: Eukaryota; Viridiplantae; Streptophyta; Magnoliopsida; Rosales; Rosaceae
Description: long non-coding RNA (MDOM_LNC008800)
Source: RNAcentral
UAUUUGGAAAUCAAGGACAGAUCCAAGGACGUUAUUAUAAGCGGGGGCGAGAACCUGAGCAGCGUGGAGGUGGAGUCAGUGCUGUAUACGAACCCGGCUGUCGACGAGGCGGCGGUUGUGGCGAGGCCUGACGAGUUUUGGGGGGAGACGCCGUGCGCGUUUGUGAGCUUGAAGAGUGAUGUGACGGCGAAGCCAACGGAGAAUGAGAUCAUGGAGUAUUGCAGGAAGAAGCUGCCGAAAUACAUGGUGCCAAAAACGGUGGUGUUUAAGGACGAGCUUCCCAAGACUUCGACCGGGAAGAUUCAGAAGUUUGUGCUCAGACAGAUGGCUAAGGGUUUGGGUUCGUCGAGGCUGAGUCGGAUGUAACUUUAAAUAUCAAUUAAUUAAUUAAUGAUUGCAUUGUCAAAUUUCAACCCAUUUUGUUCAUGUAAGUGAUUUUUCUGGGCAGUGGUGAUGAUCAAUGUUUGCUCACGACACUACAGAGUGGAAGUGGCAUUUCAUUAUGAAUGUAUAUCUUUCAUUGAACAGUGCCUUUUUAAGCAUAUUUCAAAUAUUAUUGGAGUGGAAUUUAUGUAGCAAAUGUGAACAAUUUGAACAGCUGGUGAUGUUGUUGCUUUCUAUUACCUAGACUGUAAUGAAUGUAUUCAAUUUGGAUUUUUAAGAAUUUUAAUUCAUAAAUUUUGUGUAUCAGGAUUUUAAGAUAGUUUAUUAAAAUCGUUAGAAAUCCGAAUGUAUUCAAUUAGAAUUUAAAAAAAAUUAAAGAAUUAAAGAGAAUUGAAGAGAUUUCGUAGUGUAUUUUAAGCAUAUACAAAUCUUACAUCUCUCCAUGAGAUUUCGAGAGAAUUCAAUCAAAAUUUUAAAUAAAAUCUUUACAAAUCAAUUAAAUCCCUUAAAAAUCUAUCAAUUUAUAAAUCUAUUUAAAUCUCUCAAAUUCUCAAUUGAAUAUAUUAUUAUAAAUAUUAUAUUAUUAUGAAAUCACAUCAGAGAACACUGACAAGGCACUGACUUGAAUGCGAUCCAAAAUCAUAUUAAACAGGGCAGACAUAGGGCCACUCCUCUUGCCGGAAAUAUCGCUCAGGAGCAAGUAGUCGCCCCUCUGGUUUCGUCGGAAAAGCUGGAACGGUUCUGCUGCUGCGCAGCCGGCACUGCGCGCGGCGGUGUUUUGAUAAUUAACUAUAUCAGACGCCAAACAGCUCGUUUUGCUUAUUAAAAAAAAAUAUCAGACGCCAAACGGCGUGCUUUUGGUUGUUUAAAAACCAAAAAAAAAAUAUUAUCAUUAGGGGAACCACGCGUCCUCCAAUCCUCCCACCCAGCCCCCACACACGGCCACCUUCGAAGAGAGCAGAAGAAGACAGAGGAGACAACACUUAGGCCCCUUCCGUCACAUACAGCCUUCACUUUCCAGCUUUCAAGCCAACAAAAUCAAAGUUCCAAGCCAAGCCUAUAUUCAAGGUAACUACCUGAUUUUCAAAUUUAAAUCUCUAAACUUAAUUGAUAAUUUAAUAUGAAAUUUUGUCUAGUUAAUAAGGAAUUAUAGUGUUAUAUGCUUAUUGAUUAUUGAUAUGAAUCAUAUGUGUGAAGCUAAAAAUAAUCCUAAAAAUCAUUUUGCUGACACAUGAAUUAUUUCCCAAGAAGGACGACUGCCCCUAUUAAAUAACAGGGAGCAGCCUCAUUCACAACACGCAGCUAAGAUAGACCAGGCAGAGAUCAACGACUGCUCAAGGCACCCCUGCUCGUAGGAAAAGUCAAAGGUAUUUAUGAAAGAAUAAUCUCUUAUUCUUAUCAUAAAUACAUUCCUAAUCAGAAAAAACUUUUUUCAAUUAAGUAAUCAUAAUCCCAUUUAUUUAGGAUAUUUACCUAAUUACUCUAAGAUAUUUAUUUAUACAAAUAUCUUGGAAUGUUCUCACCCAAAAUCCACCAUAGGGCCGACCACCCUUAAACCCUAGAGGGCCGGCCUAUCUUGUCUAUUUCUCCUAUAAAUACACACUUCAUCUCCAAAAUCCACAAACCCUUAAACCCUUAAACCCUAAAGAGGCUUUUUGCUUUCCACAAACACUCAAAAGCAUUAUUUUCAAAAUUCUAACUUUGGCAUCACAGAUUCUUCGGCCAAAACCCCUCAUUCAUCGUGGGUGCAUGAGGCUUUUGGCCUUAAUCUUAGGUGUUAUUAUUUUGCUGGUGCAAAUUCGUCAAUCAAAGGAAGGCGGAAAUUUGCAUCCACAAAUUGGUGCUUUCAUUGAAAGCUCUGAUCCGAAGACUCGAAGAAGACUUUUGCUUUCAACUUCCUUCAUUCGUAGAUCCACGACUACGAUGGCAGGAAAUUCAGAAACUACAACCAAUGGGACCCCUUACGUUUAAGGACAUGAACUAAUCGAUGAAGAUCGUGACGUGGUUCCACGUCGUCGUUACUUGAGGUUUACCACAACAAAGACUACACAUUUGCCACCACAGCAAAGACAUGGACCAACCCUCGCUACAGUGGCCUACAUGGCAACCUCAACUCAACACAAGGAAACUCUAGGGCAGGGAGGCCCACGACACAAACAGCCAUCAAUCGUAGACCCAAACAACUACUCGCCCUCGACAGAAGCCUUUAGCGCCUGCCACCUUCAGUUGGACAAGAGCUACUUAGACCGAGGUAGCCCAAGCCACGCCAAUCGAGCUAGCCCAGCGCCCAUGCGCCCAACCUGCUCCCGCAAGCUUCCAGACGGUCCAUCAUAGUCCCAGACCAAUUCAACUAGCCCAAAUCCAGAUCCCAAUGUCGACGGUUGAACCAAGGGAUUUUCACCCCCAACUUACUGUAGAUCUGACCUAUCCUGGCUCAAGUUUUGCACCCGGAGUCCCUUACACUUCCACAACUCAAGUAGAUGUCUACCGUCCCAGUUCUUCCACUCCAAAUGGCAAACAACACAUAUCCUGACAGGUUGCUGAACUGACAAGCGUCCUCGCGCAAUAGAUUACCUUGGUGAGUCAGCUCCUGCAGCGCAUCGAGAUACAAUGUGCCUUAGACAAAAUGUCCAGAAGUAGGACAAAGGCAAGCAAUGACGUUUCUCUCCAACGGCGUCUUGGUAAGCAACCCAUCGACCAUCCAAGAACCGAGCUUUCUGGCAGUGUAGAUUCAUGCCUGGGCCCUCGAGAUAGCGUAGACUCUUGUCUUAGCACACGAAUGAGCGUGCACUCUCGCUUAGGCCCCCAGACGAAUAUACAUUCAAGGUUGGGGCCACACUCCGAUAAUUGACAUAGACAACCUUCCAAGCGAAGUGUUUAUACGCGGUUAGGCCCGUAAUGAGCAUCUUCCAUUUUACAUCGGAGUAGGCAGCACGGCGGACGAGGAGAAGUAGUCGCACAAUCCGGCUCAAGUUCAACCGGUAUCCUACGAGUAAUCUGCUCGCCUACUAGGAACGUACUACAUGCACAACAGCCGCGACAUAGACAAGCCAAGUAUAAGGAAGAGCAGUUGAGACCAGCAGGUCAUGACCAGGGGUAACCGGAAGCCUUGCUGCCUCGACAGAGGAAAAUUCAAGAAGAAGUAAAGAGGCUCUUAACUGAGCGAUUGCGCAGAUUCCAACGUAUCGAUACCACUGACGAAGCCCUUCAUAGGGACGUGGCACACAUGGGCAGACCACCUUUCACGGACGAGAUCUAGUAGACGGAACCCCCGCGUAAGUUCAAUACACCACACUUCACCCUAUUCAAGGGAGAUAAAGACCCGGAAAUGCACUUAAAGCACUACCGGAACAUGAUGAUCCUCUACGGUUCCAACGACGCCUUAAUGUGCAAGGUAUUCGCCACUACUUUGCAGGGCGAGGUGCAGGAUUUGUUUCAUACCCUACCUCCAUAGUCCAUCUGGAGUUUCGAUGAGCUUUCUAUAGUUUUCACUAAGAAGUACUCAUCCUACUGCUCGAUCAAGGAGAAGUCUGAUCAUCUCUUCAAUAUCAAGAAGAAUCCAAAGGAGUCGCUACGGGACUAUGUCAAGAGAUUCGUCAAUCAAAGAAAGACGGAAAUUUGCAUCCACAAUAUGAGUACUGAUAAAUGAAAUUGUUGAUUAUUGAUGAAUGAAAUUGUUAAUUAUUGAUUAAUUGAAUUGUUGAUUAUUGAAUCAUUUAUAUAACUAUUGAUAUGAUUAAUUGAAUAGUUGGUUUACUUAGUUGUUAGUCAUACCAGACUCUGCUCUAGGAUUACUGAGUCUAAGACUUUUAUUCCCAUUAUAUAGUUACGUGAGGAAAUGAUAUAAUAAGAAACAAUGCUUAAAUCCUCCUUCAAAUAUUUCGAGUUGUCAUCCUUCGCAUAUUCCCAAGCUGAGUCUACGAUAUUAUUUAUCUCAACUGUGGGUGUGUUUUAUCCAAUGGAUAGUCAUUCUAAACAUUCCCCUAAACAUGGUCUGUACGUGAGCGACUCUGAAUUUUUUUCACUUAAUUUCUUUAUUUUCUUAUUUGUGUCAUCUUACUAAGCUAUCCGUAAUAUAUUUGGCUAUUAUCUGUUGAAUUUUUUUUCUUAGAGAAGGGUAUUUUAGGCAUUUCAAAAUCUAAAAGAUACAGAUAAAAAUCGUCGGCCCUUUACAUCAUUUUUUUGUAAAUUUGAUCACAGUAGAUUGAGUCUGUGGGCGAGAGUAGCUUAAGUUCAUCGACAUUAUUCUAAACAACACAAUGGCGUUGAAGGCGAUUAUGGGAAAUUUUCUGCUUGGAAACAUGUUUUUACAGAGAUAAAAUUUCUAAUUGACAACCAUCACUAGUGUUGGUCAUUAGGUCACAUAUAAUCAUAUUUGAGAUACAUCAUUGCCCAUAGUUAUCUAUCUCGCUUUUCUAUGUGACCGGGCUGAUAUUGAUUGUAUUUGGGGCUUCUCCUUUUAACUCUUAAUUUGAAAAAAAUACGGAUGAAAAAAAAUAGUAGCUUAAGUUUAGGGUUGGAGACCUCUAAUGUAACUUGGAUAAAAGUAGGGGUGUGACGCAGCAUGAAGAUACAUAGAGGGAUCCUCACAUUCACCCUUAAUGAUUCAUCUGGAAUCCACUAGAAAAGUGAGAGAAUUCUGAAAAACUAUAUUGAUUACUCUGGAAUACAAAGUUGAUCCUUAAGGCAACACUUCCAUUGCCUAUUUAUUCUAUUUGUAAUUCGCAUUAUUAAUUAUACAUUUUGAAUGCUAUUUAAAUCAUGGCGUGUAAUACUCAUGACCUAUUCGUCUUCCCCUUGCGCCUAUCAAGCUGUGCUUCAAAUUCCUCCGCUAAACGUUUUUCGUCAGGUGGGAAAUUUUGCCAUAAACCGAUUUACCAACUAAACCAUACCGGUCGGUUCAUAAUGGUAUGGUAUAGUUUUGGGAUUUUUUCAUAAUCUGUUGGCAUUAUACUGAACCGACAAUUAAUGGUAUGGCUUUGGUAUUGGAUUUUGUAUACCGGCGGUAUGCCAUACCUACCAAUACUAUAUAUUUUAUAUUUAGAUAUUUUAGGUAUUUUUUACAUGCUUGACAUGUGAAGAAAUGGAAAAAUGUAAGUAUUGCUAUAUUUUUUCUAAUUCUAGUUAUAGUACUUCAAUCCAAUGUUUAUUGAUAUUUUUAGUUUAUUAUUCAAUAUUACUUCUUAUUCUAAUCAUACUUUUUUAUGUAACAUUUGAAUUGAAAUAGUUGAUGGUUCUACAUCUCAAGUAGGAACAUCAAUUCCAAGUGCUUCGAAGAAUUGAUUCAUGGAAGAUUUCACAUGCAUUGGUUGAUGCUACUUCAGUGAUGUUGCAUUAUCAAAACAACAAGUUAUUUGUUUUGGGAUUUUAAUAAGGGGAUAUGGUUAACAAGUUAUUUGUUUUGGGAUUUGAAUAAAGGGAUCUUAUAACCAGAACCAUACUUUUGAGUUUUUUUAUUUAUACAUUAGUUGCUACAAUUGAAUUUGGACAAUUAUAUUAGUUAGACUUUUGAGUUUGUAAACUUAUGACUAUUUGGAUUAUGUUUGCUGACAUUGACAUUGUUUUAUUAAGUUUUGAUUUGAUUUUCAUUUUAACUUGUUAAGUCAUGAUUAUGUUGGCUUAUCAUCAAUUGAAAAAUGCAGCAACAACUUUUUUUUCUCUUUUCUGGUUUGUUGUUUACGGGUUGAUGCAUAGUCUUGAGCUAUUGUUUUUGUAGCUUAUUUGCAAACCAUCGGUUGUGCCAUUUACCAACCGAAUCAGCCAAUAAUUUCGGCUGAAUAUAUUUUUGGCAACAGCAAGAAGACGGUUGGCUAACGGUAACUGAUUUUUUGUAGUUAUGUAUAUGUGGCUGGCAGGUGGCACAAAGAAUUUGACACAAUUUGCCAACCAAACCCAACUUUAGAUAACCGUGGUUUACCAUCAGUUGUCUCAUUUAAAAAAAAAAAAAAAACUAAAUAGAUACGACUAUGGGCUAACAAGUAGCCCCCCAUCUAGGAAAUCAUUUGUGGACCGUCCCAGUCCAACCCUUUCGGGCCGGGUUACCGAAUCAGUCUUUCCCUAAUAGGCUAAUGUCAACAUCGAGUCUUAAAGUUGAGGGACUUUGAUUGUCUGCCCUCCCAUUUCGAUGCCCUUUCCGUGCCCUCAUGUUUUGUGUGGUCACGGUUAAGCCACAUCGAUAUUUUAUAUUAUUUUUUUUUGAAAAUAAUAAAACAAAAAGAAAUAGUAGUAUAAAAUGUUGACGUGGCUUAACCAUGAUCAUAAAAACAGGAAGGCACGGAGAGGGCACCAAAAUUAGAGGGCAGACAAUCCAAGUCCAAAGUUGAGUGCACCCGCACUUGCAUGACACAUCAUGGUCCUGGGUUAUAUAGCUGAUGUGUUUUACACCUGACUUAUAGAAAGACAAGAAAAACCAAUUUUGCUUUGGUUUCUUUGUUUUGGUUUUUCUGCUUUGGGCUCCAACUCUUGUUUUGGGCUUUUUUUGUGUUUACUUUGGGGUUCAUUAUUUUGCUUUGUGCUUUAUUUGUGAUUGGACAUUCGUUGGGUUGAUAAUAAAUUUUACCUUUUACCAUAAAGAAAAACACAAAUGACAACAUAACCAAAUGACCUUUACAAUUAAAUAAUUUAUCAAAUAACACGUUUCAUCAACUGCAACUGCAAUCAUAACGCUCUGUGGUUUAGAUCACAUUUUGUAAAAUACAUCCAACUCAUCUAUUUAAUAUAGGUAAAACCAAGGUUCUAAAAGACGUUAGGCGCUAGUCUGUAUACGAACUGAGACCUAGUGGCUAAGCAGGAGCCUAGUCGGAUUAGGCAGAUUUAAAUAAAUUUGUUAUAUAUUGUGUAAAUAAGUGCUUAUUUAUACUUAAAAUAAUACAUAAUUGCAUUGAAAUAAAUAAAUGACAAAGUAGAAUGACAUAUAAAUUACAAAGUAGUAGAACAUAUUUGCAUUGGGAUUACAUGAAUCUUACCUUGAUUUAAGCUCGGGUGUGGAGUUGAUUUAUACCACAGGGAGGUCCCAUUUUGGGUGGAACUAUGGAGGGGAACUCAUGUUGAGUGGAGGGGAGCCUAUGUUCAGUAGAGGGGGGAGAUGGAGGAAUGAAAGAUGUUGUGGUGGUUGACGGCGAGAUGAAUUUGGAAGUGUUGGGUGGGGCAGGACACCUCACUCUCUAUGCAAACGAGAAACGAGAGAGAGAUGGAGAAGAGAGUCCCAAAGUGGGGAAGUCUCUAGGCAAGGGGGAGAAAAAGCCCAGGCAAACUACAAAGAAAGAUUUUGUGGGUCCCUAUGUACCAAUAAUCCAAUAAAAUUAUCCAUAAUAGGGAAAUUAGGGGAAAAAAAAAACCAUGAACUUAAAAUCCCGUAGGAAUUUUGUUUGAACUCCAAAUUCUUCACCGUUUGCGCCCACACGUUCGUUGCAACAAAUACUAUAUGAAUACACUAAAAUAAUGGGUCAUGUUUAUCACAAGCUCAAAUGUCAACCGAAGUCACCACUUUGGACAUUUAGUCAUUUCACACUCUUGAAAAUUGAAAUACUCUAAUUUUAGGGACUGGUCGUAACAACUGCAUUACUUUUCUCAAUUAAUUCCACAAAUGGUUUCUUCUCCUUGCUUUUCCAAGGCUUCUUGUCUUUAUACCCACUAGAUUGCGUAUUAGUUCUUCCCCCAAACACUUAGGCUACCAAAAGCUCUCUCAGUAACCUCACUAUCUUUUGAGUGCCUAAUUAAUUUUUGUUCAAACCCUUUUAGUGUUGCAACAACCUCAGUGGAAUCAAUUUCUUUGGUCUUUUUAGCUUCUUCUUUCACAUCAACAAUAUUAUCAUAUUGAAGUGUAAAACUGAUUGAUAACUUUUUAACAACCCUCUUGUUAUGCAAGUCUUCACCAUACAUUUGCAUUUGACGUAUCAAUCCAAACACCUUAGUUAAAUAAUCAGAUAAUGAUUCACCAUUCCUCAUUAUAUCAUACUCAAAAUCACAACAAAUGCAUUGAAGUUUAAAGGCCAUUACUUGAGAAUCACCUUUAUAUUCUUAUUGCAAUACAUCCUAAGUGGCUUUAACAAUUUCCUGGUUUGUAAUCUUUGGGAAAAAAUCAUCACUCAUAGCUCCUUGGAUCAAUCCCAGAGCCCUUGCACCACCGGAAAUAAGAUCUUGAGCAACAAACAGUUGCUUCUCAUAUAAGGGAAGAACAUAGCCUUCUUAACAAAUUUCCAUAGAUUUUUGAAGUUGUCUUCAACCUGAUGCACCAAAACUCAUAGUUGAUGCUAUUAAAGGCCAUAGUUCGAAGCUCAGCUCCAAAUCCAGCCAUCUUGCUCCUCGAUUCACCUAAGUUCUUCGUUGGAAACUCAGAAAACAACUCACAGAUCCACACCCCUUGAUUCAACAUGAACCAAGCUAUGGGCACAUGUUAGUAUUUUUAUCAAUUUUGCAGGUUAAUUUUGGUUGAAUUUGGAUUAAAAUCAAUCAGAAAUUGAUGAGCUCAUAGAGUUGAAAAUGCAAAAAACUUAAAAGAUAAAAAAAAAAGAAAAGGAAAACUAAUGAAAAGGCCUUGAAAACUUUGAGUUUUAACGAUAAAGAUAAAAUAAAGGGUAAAGUGAAUAGUACCAGGAUUGACCUUUUAGUGUAAAAAUGUGGUUUUUCAUUAAAUUGAAUAAUACUGGGAGUUUUUCGUUAAAGUUCCCGUGUUAAUAGCUCCUUAAAUUCUGAAUUGGGUCCCAUUACAUCAAGCUAGAAAUGCCACCUCCAAUAUAGUCGUUGGUCACACUUGCAACGUGACUAUGAUCACGUGCAAGGCACACAUACAACUUAAAACAUAACAAACAAAUAACACAUGGCAAGAUUUACACCAUCUAGAUAUUAUAAUCUCAGUCGUUGAUUACAUAAGCCAUACCACUUGAACUUAAGAAGAAAUCCAGCAAUCCGAGCUUCAAAUUUUCAUUUAACUUCUACAGAAAGAUUAUAGCAACAAUGCUUAUUCAUCAACACAUGGUAUCCACAACGGUGGUGAUUAAGGACGAGCUUCCUAAGACUUCCACCGGGAAGAUUCAGAAGUUUUUGCUGAGGGAGAUUGAUAAAGGGAUUGCAUUGCCCUCGUUAUUUUUUCCGCGGCGGUGGCGUCGCGGACAACAAAUAGGAUGUAAGAGAAACUAGACAACAAAGAAAAGACAGAGACUAGAGAAAAAAUUAGGAGUUUAAUCGCCUCGGCCGAGUUUCGUAUUGUGUUUUACAAAGUUGAGGGAAAUUUGAAAAGAUUCUUUGAUAACAAAAAUUUUAUUCUUACUAUUUAUUUGUACCAUUAUUUGUACAUUUAUCUUAUUUGGACCCAAAUUGGACAUUAGGCCUAGAGCGCGGCCCAAUCGCACACAAAGCCCCAGGAAAACACUACAUCAUCAAAGCAAAUAAGGUUGAGGACGAAAGCUCGACCCAGAAUUCAAGAUAUUGCCUAAUGUGGCAAAACUAGACGACAAACCUAUGCAAUUGGGCAGGCAUAGGGGUCAUUAACGAAGGGUUUCACAGAAGGCAAAAGCAUCUUUUUAGGGGUAAAACCCCUUAAUUUGGAAAGGGUUAAAUGUGAAAUCACCAAUUGCAUGUCACAUCAAUCCAAGGGAGUUUAACCCAGAAUGAUGAAAGUCUUAUAAAAUCUACAAGGGAACACAAAGAAAAUGACUCUCAACUCAACUCUCAGAAAAACACUUAAAAGCUUUGUCGCUUUCUUUAUAAUCUCUUUGCACCCCCAGCUAUUUCCUUUAAGUUAUAGCUCUGCUGCAGCCUUUGCGCAGUAUCGAUUUAAUUUGUAGCCGCUAUUGCACCCUCCCAGACCCUGCGUAAAGCGGGAGCCUUGUGCACUGGGUACGACAUUUUAUUGCACCCUUUUUCAUUUCCAAAAACUGCCCCAUACUCUGUAAGUUUGCAAAAGAAGUGCCCUGGGACUCAAGCCUGACAAGGUUUAUAAUGUGCCCAAAUUCACUUGUUUACCAUUUGAUGCAUUAAAUCUAUCUUUAUUUGCUUCAUGUUUACUCUUGAAUUUAUUUAUUACGUUCUAACAUGGACUGUUCUGCUCAUUUAUUACUUGAAACCUUCACUGUCACUCUACCUUUGGUUGUUCCCUAUCAGUUAUGAUGCAAUCAUGGCCUAAACUUGGUAAUCUUGACCUAAUUAAAACUUGGUAAAUAACAUCAACACAGUCCUUGAUCUCAAGGCAGUAAAAAUGACCUUUUAUGGACUUAACCCCUCUAUAAACAAUCUCUUAUAAAAGAAGUCAUUUUACUUGUAGCGCAAGUAGUAAAAAUGACUCACAAUUUGUUGGUCUUGGCCAAUAGUGACACGCUCAGCAUUCAUCUAAUUCUGAUAGAAUGCAUCCAAGGCCGAACAUCUCUAAUACAGAUAGAACCAACGUGUGCUGGUGAGCCCUAUCUCUUAUAAAGAGAUGAUAUAUUGCACAAAUAUACAGUGAUGUAGCGUUACUCCUUUGACAAUUAAAAAGAUUGUAAAUUUUGGUGGUUAAUUUAUUGUGCAGGUGCAUGGCAUGAUGACGUCGGACGUUGGAAGCUUUUGGGUUGCCGGGCUUGCGAUGGCAGGCCGUUUGGACUACAUGCUUAUGAUAUUAGGAAAAUUGCAUGCAUGUGUUGUUGACCGAAAUUGUCAGAUGAGUUGUCGUUUGCCAUCUCUGACUAUUUAAUCUUAUCAUUUUUCAUAUCUAUUGUUAAAAUAAGUUUCAGUCCGAUAUUCUUCCUCCAAAAUAAUUUUAUAUAUAGUUUAAGUUUGAUUACUGUUCGCCAUCUUGACUGGAAAAUAGAAAAUGCCUCAUCACCCUGCGAUGCCGGCGAUGAUCAGUUUGAUUAGAGUUGGGUUGGUGGGUCUAUAUUGUCGUCGUUUGGGUUGGUCGACGGUGCGUCGGAUGUAAUUUUUAUUGGGGAAUAUCAAUAAGUUUAAUUAAUUAAUGGUUGCACUGUCAAAUUUCAGGCGAUCUGCAAUGUUCAUAUCUGCGGGUUUUCUGGGCAGUGGAAGUGGUGAUGAUCAAUAUUUCCUCACGACACUCCAGACUGGUGGGAAUUUACCUACCUGCCCCUCCUCAGCUCAAAAUUGUUUUCCUUUUAACCGUUAUAAAAAAAAUAAAGAUAAUAUUAGAGAAAUUAAAAUUUUAAAUCAAAUUUGCAUGUGUGAUUAAUAAAAAAAUAAAAAAUAAUCAUUUUAAUCAACACUUAGAUAAUAAUCUAAUCAUCAACAAUCACAUUAUUUGGUUUACAUAAUUUGAUCUCUCUAGCAUUAUACUAAAAAUAAGCGUUUUAUUGAACAAUGAUUUUAAAAUAAGGAUAAUGUCAUAGAAAUUAAAUUUAAAAUAAUAAUAAAAAAUUUGCAAACUAAAUUAUGUGUCACCAAUAAAAUAUAAUCACGUUAAUCAAUACUUAAGUAAUAAUUCAAUCAUCAACAACCACGUCAUUUGGCUUACAAAUUUAAUUUAAAAUUUUGAUAUCUCUAAUAUUAUCCUUAAAAUAAUCGUUUUUGGAGUGUGUGAGGGUUCUUGAACAAGAGACAUUUUUCAGUGUGACUAAUACGCGGGGUGGUCUAUUACAUGUCACUAUACAAAUUAUAGGAUAUGUGUGCUAAAAAAUUAAUAACUUAUAAAUAAAAUUUACCACCACUCCUAUUAAAACAUGUAAUGUACCACUUGUGUUCCCUUUACAAUUAAAAUUUUCUUCUUAAACAAGGGGACAUAAUGUUGAGGGUUUAUCUCAACUGCGGAUGUGUUUCAUCCGACCGACUAAAAUAGUCAAUCUAAAGAAUUGCACAAACAUUAUCUGUAGGUGAGUGACUUCAGAUUCUUUUAUUUAAUUUCUGAUUUGUGUCAUUUACUAAGUUAUCCCUAAUCUAUUUGGCCUUUUUUGUGGGAUUUUUUUUAUAGAAGGGCAUUUUAGGCGUUUCAGAAUGUUUCACCAAAUGUUGCUGCUCACGUUAUAUAUAGAAAUUCUGAAAGAUAGAUAAAAACCAUUGGUCUUUUACAUUUGGUCACAUGUAAAUUAUUUUUUUUUUGUAAAUUUGGUCACAGUAGAUUGAGUGGUGUGGGUAAGAGUAGCUUAAAUUCAUUGACAUAUUCCAAAUAGUAUCAUGGCGUUUGAAGGCGACUAUGGAGAAUUUUCCGCUUGGAAACAUGCAUGUUUUUACAGACAAAAUUUUCAAUUGACGCCAUUUAGUGUUACGUUGGUCCUUAGAUCCCUACCCAUUGUUACCUAUCCCGCUUUCUUAUUUGACUAGGGAGGUAUUGAUUGUAUUCGGGAUAGUAAAAUACGGGGAAAAAAACAAAGAAAAAGAAAGAAACUUAAGUUUAGGAUUGAAGACAUUUAAGACCAAACUCAACCCUGCGCUAAAAGCUAAAAGUCAAACAAAAGCCAAAUGCCCCCCCCCCCAGGAUUUAGCUCAUAAAAUGGUGUAGGCACCACCAGCGGUACCCCACUCACAUAGGCAUGUCUCCUAGGAUUGAUUGAAUCCAACGGCUAAGAUCGAAUAUAAUCAAAUCUAACUGUCCAAAUUUAAAUCCAACAGCUAAAAUAAUUUAAAAAAAAUUAUUUAACUCAAAAUUCACCCUAUUUUAGUGAUUUUUCAAUAUUUAUCGGAAUUUAAAUAUUUUUAGGUUAAAAUGUUCAUAAAAUUAAAUUAUGAUAGUGUACAUAAUUUUUUUUUAAAAUUACUUUAAAGGAAAAAAUUAGCCUAAAUUUAUUCUUUAAUAAUCUCAGGCUAAAAAAUUUAGAUAAGAAAGGUUGGAGCAGAAAAACUGUUUCAAGGCUAAAAUCUAAAUUUUAUGAGCUAAAAAUUUUAAGUUUUAAUCCAAGGUUUCAGACAACAAACUAAAUAGAUAUGACAAUGGGCUAUAGCAAGUAGCCUCCAACGGCCCCAUCUAGGAAAUCAUUUGUUUAUCGUCCCAGUCUAACCCCUUGGGGCCAUGUUAGCGAUUCAGUCUUUCCCUAAUAUCAAUUUUCUCAGCUUCGUUUAAACAAAUGAAAACGUAACAAGACGACCCUUAUGAUUAAAUAAUUUAUCAGAUAGCACAUUCCAUCAAUAACAAUUAUAAAGGAGUAAUGUUAUACUUGUCAUAUUUUUUUUAUACCUUAUUUGUACUAUUUUUCUAAGACCAACUCCAAUGAUCGAGGUUAAAAUCUUAAUUUUAGCUCAAAAAAUUCAAAGCUUGUUUAGUAUUCUAUCCAAAAACUUUGAUUGUUCCUAAAACAUUUUUCAAAGGACAUCCCUUAAGAACAAUUUUUCUUUUAAAUCUCACAAUUCAAAAAUCUAUUUGGUUAAAUUUAAAAAAAUAGUUUUUCUUAAUUGAAAUUCAAACUACCUUGCAAAAAUUGGAGGAGAGACACAAGUAGGAAAGAGAGAAGAAGGGAAACGGUUGGCAAGGGGAGAGAAAGAGAGAAGUAGGCGAAGAGGUGAGGGGAGAGAAGUAAUUAAGAGAGGGUGAUGAGAGAGCAUAAAAAUACGGUGAGGAGAGAGAUUAGACAGAGGUGGAGGAUGUGAGGAGAGAGAUAAGACAACGAGGGUUAGGAGAGAGAAAGAGCAACAACAACAAAACCUUUUUCCACUAAGUGGGGUCGGCUAUAUGAAUCCUAGAACGCCAUUGCGCUCGGUUUUGUGUCAUGUCCUCCGUUAGAUCCAAGUACUCAAGUCUUUUCUUAGGGUCUAUUCCAAAGUUUUCCUAGGUCUUCCUCUACCCCUUCGGCCCUGAACCUCUGUCCCGUAGUCACAUUUUCGAACCGGAGCGUCAGUAGGCCUUCUUUGCACAUGUCCAAACCACCGGAACCGAUUUUCUCUCAUAUUUCCUUCAAUUUUGGCUCCUCCUAUUUUAUCUCGGAUAUCCUCAUUCCCAAUCUUAUCCUUUCUCGUGUGCCCAUACAUCCCACGAAGCAUCCUCAUCUCCGCUACACCCAUUUUGUGUACGUGUUGAUGCUUCACCGCCCAACAUUUUGUGCCAUACAACAUCGCUGGCCUUAUUGCCGUCCUAAAAAUUUUCCCUUGAGCUUCAGUGGCCUACGACGGUCACACAACACGCCGGAUGCACUCUUACACUUCAUCCAUCCAGCUUGUAUUCUAUGGUUGAGAUCUCCAUCUAAUUCUCCGUUCUUUUGCAAGAUAGAUCCUAGGUAGCGAAAACAGUCACUUUUUGUGAUCUUCGCUAGAUUGCUCCGGUCAUUAGUGUGGAUAAGUAUAUAAAUGGAUAGAGAUAGGAAAGCAAACACAAGAUGUACGUGGUUCACCCAGAUUGGCUACGUCCACGGAAUAGAGGAGUUCUCAUUAAUUGUGAAGGGUUUACACAAGUACAUAGGUUCAAGCUCUCCUUUAGUGAGUACAAGUGAAUGAUUUAGUACAAAUGACAUUAGGAAAUAUUGUGGGAGAAUGAUCUCGUAACCACGAAACUUCUAAGUACCGGAGUGUGGUAUCGUCUUGACUUGCCUUAUCUGUCUCAUAGGUAGAUGUGGCAUCUUCUCUGGAAGUACUCUUCCUCCAUCCAGGGGUGGUAUCUUUAACUGGUGGAGAUGCACAAGGUAAUGUAUCAAUUUCACUUGAAGCUUACUUGUAGUUUCAGGCUUGGUCAAGCGCGAUACAAACCAAGUAGUAGGAGUCCCCCAAGUCGCCGAGCUAGGGGAUCUGCUGAAAGAGGUGACAGACAAGGUAAGCAAUCAGAGCUCCGGCUGAUUGUUCACAUUCUCCCUAUCUUGCAGGCAGCAUGAAGGAUAAAGAGAAGAAAAAUGAGAAGAGAUGAUAUGGGGAUACUUUUGCUUUUGAAGAAGUAACUUUCCACAGGCUUAUUCUUGAACUGGGCUGGAGGGUUUUCUGGUUUCCUCCAGAGUAUAAGGCCGACUGAAGAAUUUGAGGGUCAAAACAAGUCCAUCAAAUCUAGAGUACGUUCGACCCUGCUGAUAUGGGAUACUUUUGCUUUUGACAGAGUAGUGGAUGUAUCGGCACGUGUGCUGUUACGCUUGUCUCCACAUGCUUCCUUGUAUCUUUCUCACUUGCCCUAUCUGUUCCUCAGGCAGAUGCGGUAUCUUCCCUGGAAGCAUAAGAUGUUGAAGAUGAGUACUCGAGAGCAAUGCCAGGUAAGUAAUCAGGUAAGGGGUUCCAGGCAGUCAGUUCCUGGCUGGAAGCUUGAUUCCAAGUGCUGACUGAUUGCUCUCUUUCUCCUUGUCUUGCAGGUAAGAACAAGGCCAAAGGAAAAGACAGGGAAAAAGCAUGAUAUGGGAUACUCUUGCUUUUAACCCUGAUGAUAUGAGAUAUUCUUGCUCUAGUAUAACUUGUUUACAGAGGUACUAUCGGGGGGAAAGAAAGCUGAAUAUUUCGAAAGGCUUCGUUGGGAGUGCCCUCUCAGAUAAGAGGAAGGGGUUGAGCAUUUUUGCAGGUCUGCCUGUCCGUUGGGGAUGGAGGUCGACAUAUAUAGGAGUCUCCCUAACAUCAAGUAAUAAUGCUAUUCCUUUACCCUGCUUGGUCAUAGCACGGUAGUGGGAGCUGCCAGCUUCACAUGUUUUAACUCUGUCAGAGCACUUUGAAAAAGUGGUCUGUGGUAUCUGGAAAGCUGAUGUUGCGUGUGAAGAUUACAGACAAGCUUUAUCCAAGGAGAUCCAGCUCUUGAAGUUGGGAAAGUGGUGCCUCUUCGGUUUUCGAACAAGCAAUCCUGUCGGGGAUCUGGCUCUCGAGAUUCGGAGAACGAUGCCUUUUCAAUUUUUGAGAAAGCAAUCCUGCUGGGGGUCUGGCUCUCGAGAUUCGGGGAGCGGUGUCUCUUCGAUUUUUGAGAAAGUAAUCAUGUUGGGAGUCUGGCUCUCGAGAUUCGGAGGGCGGUGUGCCUCUUCGAUUUUGGAGCAAGCAAUCUUGUUGGGAGUGUUUUCUCGAAUGUGAGUAAAGGUUGGGCACUAGUCUACACAGGGACUUUCCAAUUAUCCAGCAGUGGUACUGUUCCUUUACCCUCUCUUCGAUUUUUGAGAAAGUAAUCAUGUUAGGAGUCUGGCUCUCGAGAUUCGAAGGGCGGUGCCUCUUCGAUUUUGGAGCAAGCAAUCUUGUUGGGGGUGUUUUCUCGAAUGUGAGUAAAGGUUGGGCAUGUUUGCUAGUCUACCUUGCCACGAAGCACAGAGGUUGACACACCGGGACUUUCCAAUUAUCCAGCAGUGGUACUGUUCCUUUACCUUUGUGGGUAAUAAUAUGGUAGCUAGACCUUCAAAAUUUAUGUGUCUAAACUUUGUUAGUGUUGUUUCUUUGCUAUUAUUUUACCCUUCUUGGUUAGAGCGAUGUAGUAGGAGCUGCAAGCUUCACGUGUCUCAACUUUGUCAGAGAACUUUGGCAAAGUUAUCUGUGGUACCCAUGAGCUACUGUUGCGUGUGGGAAGUGGGUGAUUGAACAGUACGAUUCAUGUGCUUUCUACUUCGCCAGAAAUCUUCGACAGAAUGCUCAUAAUUUUCGCAAAGUUGAGUGUGCGUGUGACAGGUGCUGACAAGGCUGGAAAAGUAGGUGCCUCUUCGAUUUCUGAGAUCGGCCCUCGUGGUCUCUGAGCAGCCCAGUUUUUGAGAAAGCAAGCUUCUUCGAUUUCUGAGAUCGGUCUUCAUGGUCUUUGAGCAGCCCAGCUUUUGAGAAAGCAGACGCCUCUUCGAUUUCAGAGAUCGACCCUCGUGGUCUCUAAGCAGCCAAGCUUUUGAGAAAGCAGACGCCUCUUCGAUUUCAGAGAUCGACCCUCGUGGUCUCUGAGCAGCCCAGCUUUUGAGAAAGCAAACGCCUAUUUGAUUUCUGAGCAGGCGCCUCUUCGAUUUCUGAAGCUUCGUCGAGUGCAGAUUUUUAUAGGGGCUGACAUUAAGUUCCAAAGCACACUUGAAUAUCCACCAGUAGAAGCUCCAUUCUUGCACUUCUAAGAUCUUGAUUUGUCCGACCUCUUCUCUCUUCAACACCUUUGAAAAUGUCUGGCCCCUUCCGACCGUCGUUUUGAACUUGAACCUUGUUGAAGAGGCAGCCCCGCCUUCUUCCAGACAACAUAUGGCGCCCAUCCUUCGUCUCCCCUACUGGUUCCUCUUACCGUUGGGGAUUCCGUGAUGAAGAAUGAUAUGACCGCUGCGGUAGUGGCCAGGAACCUUCUCACUCCCAAAGAUAACAGACUACUUUCCAAACGGUCUGAUGAGUUGGCUGUUAAGGAUUCUCUGGCUCUCAGUGUUCAGUGUGCAGGUUCUGUGUCUAAUAUGGCCCAACGCCUAUUUGCUCGAACCCGCCAAGUUGAAUCAUUGGCGGUUGAAGUGAUGAGUCUCAAACAGGAGAUUAGAGGGCUCAAGCAUGAGAAUAAACAGUUGCACCGGCUCGCACAUGACUAUGCUACAAACAUGAAGAGGAAGCUUGACCAGAUGAAGGAAUCUGAUGGUCAGGUUUUACUUGAUCAUCAGAGAUUUGUGGGUUUGUUCCAAAGGCAUUUAUUGCCUUCGUCUUCUGGGGCUGUACCGCGUAAUGAAGCUCCAAAUGAUCAACCUCUGAUGCCUCCUCCUUCUAGGGUUCUUGUCCAGUACUGAGGCUCCAAAUGAUCCCCCUCCGGUGCCUUCUCUUUCUGGGGCUCUACCGACUGCUGAGACUUCUCCUAAGCAACCUUUGUGAAGGCUCCCUCUUGUUUGUUUAUUUUGACUCAAGUAUAUGUACAUAUUUGUAACUUAUCGGGGAUAUCAAUAAAUAAGCUUUCCUUCAUUUCAACGUAUUGUGUUAAAUACACCAAAGCCUUCUUCGCUAAGUUCUUUGAAUUUUCUUUUGUUGAAGCUUGUAUGUUGAAGCUUUGUGAGUGGAGCAUGUAGGUUGAGGUAGUGUUCCCUUAAUUUCCCGAGUGAGGAAAACUUCUCGGUUGGAGACUUGGAAAAUCCAAGUCACUGAGUGGGAUCGGCUAUAUGAAUCUUAGAACGCCAUUGUGUUUUGUCCUGUGUCAUGUCCUCCGUUAGAUCCAAGUACUCUAAGUCUUUUCUUAGGGUCUCUUCCAAAGUUUUCCUAGGUCUUCCUCUACCCCUUCGGCCUUGAACCUCUGUCCCAUAGUCGCAUCUUCUAAUCGGAGCGUCAGUAGGCCUUCUUUGCACAUGUCCAAACCACCGUAACCGAUUUUCUCUCAUCUUUCCUUCAAUUUCGGCUACUCCUACUUUACCCCGGAUAUCCUCAUUCCUAAUCUUAUCCUUUCUCGUGUGCCCACACAUCCAACGAAGCAUCCUCAUCUCCGCUACACCCAUUUUGUGUACGUGUUGAUGCUUCACCGCCCAACAUUCUGUGCCAUACAGCAUCGCCGGCCUUAUUGCCGUCCUAUAAAAUUUUCCCUUGAGCUUCAGUGGCAUACGGCGGUCACACAACACGCCGGAUGCACUCUUCCACUUCAUCCAUCCAGCUUGUAUUCUAUGGUUGAGAUCUCCAUCUAAUUCUCCAUUCUUUUGCAAGAUAGAUCCUAGGUAAAGAAAACGGUCGCUCUUUGGUAUUUCUUGAUCUCCGAUCCUCACCCCUAACUUGUUUUGGCCUCCAUUUGCACUGAACUUGCACUUCAUAUAUUCUGUCUUUGAUCGGCUUAGGCGAAGACCUUUAGAUUCCAACACUUCUCUCCAAAGGUUAAGCUUUGCAUUUACCCCUUCCUGAGUUUCAUCUAUCAACACUAUAUCGUCUGCGAAAAGCAUACACCAAGGAAUAUCAUCUUGAAUAUGUCCUGUUAACUCAUCCAUUACCAACGCAAAAAGGUAAGGACUUAAGGAUGAGCCUUGAUGUAAUCCUACAGUUAUGGGAAAGCUUUCGGUUUAUCCUUCAUGAGUUCUUACGGCAGUCUUUGCUCCUUCAUACAUAUCCUGUAUAGCUUGGAUAUAUGCUACUCGUACUCCUUUCUUCUCUAAAAUCCUCCAAAGAAUGUCUCUUGGGACCCUAUCAUACGCUUUUUCCAAAUCUAUAAAGAUCAUGUGUAAAUCCUUUUUCUCAUCUCUAUAUCUUUCCAUCAAUCUUCGUAAGAGAUAGAUUGCCUCCAUGGUUGAGCGCCCUGGCAUGAACCCGAAUUGGUUGUCCGAAACCCGUGUCUCUUGCCUCAAUCUAUGCUCAAUGACUCUCUCCCAGAGCUUCAUUGUAUGACUCAUUAGCUUAAUACCCCUAUAGUUCAUGCAAUUUUGUACAUCGCCCUUAUUCUUGUAGAUAGGCACCAAAGUGCUCGUUCGCCACUCAUUUGGCAUCUUCUUUGUUUUCAAAAUCCUAUUGAAAAGGUCAGUGAGCCAUGUUAUACCUGUCUCUCCCAAAACUUUCCACACUUCGAUUGGUAUAUUGUCUGGGCCUACUGCUUUUCUAUGCUUCAUCUUCUUCAAAGCUCUAACCACUUCUUCCUUCCGGAUUCUACGAUAAAAAUAGUAGUUUCUACACUCUUCUGAGUUACUCAACUCCCUUAAAGAAGCACUCAUUUCAUGUCCUUCAUUGAAAAGAUUAUGAAAAUAACAUUUCGAUAUGUCUUUAACCGCGUUCUUUGUAGCAAGAACCUUUCCAUCCUCAUCCUUGAUGCACCUCACUUGGUUUAGGUCCCUUGUCUUCUUUUCCCUUGCUCUAGCUAGUUUAUAGAUAUCCAACUCUCCUUCUUUGGUAUCUAGUCGCUUAUACAUAUCGUCAUAAGCCGCUAACUUAGCUUCUCUCACAGCUUUCUUCGCCUCUUGCUUCGCUUUUCUAUACCUUUCACCAUUUUCAUCGGUCCUAUCCUUGUAUAAGGCUUUACAGCAUUCCUUCUUAGCCUUCACCUUUGUUUGUACCUCCUCAUUCCACCACCAAGAUUCCUUUUGGUGUGGGGCAAAGCCCUUGGACUCUCCUAAUACCUCUUUUGCUACUUUUCGGAUACAACUAGCCAUGGAAUCCCACAUUUGGUUAGCUUCCCCCUUUCUAUCCCACACACACUGGGUGAUUACUUUCUCUUUGAAAAUGACUUGUUUUUCUUCUUUUAGAUUCCACCAUCUAGUCCUUGGGCACUUCUAAGUCUUGUUCUUUUUUCUCACUCUUUUGAUAUGUACAUCCAUCACCAACAAGCGAUGUUGAUUAGCCACACUCUCUCCUGGUAUAACUUUGCAAUCCUUACAAGUUAUACGAUCCCCUUUCCUCAUUAGAAGAAAAUCUAUUUGUGUUUUUGACGACCCACUCUUGUAGGUGAUCACAUGUUCUUCUCUCUUCUUAAAGAAGGUGUUGGCUAAGAAGAGAUCAUAUGCCAUUGCAAAAUCCAAGAUAGCUUCCCCAUCCUCGUUUCUCUCCCCAAAACCAUGGCCACCAUGAAAACCUCCAUAGUUGCCUGUCUCCCUGCCCACGUGUCCAUUUAAAUCUCCUCCUAUAAAUAACUUCUCCGUCUGAGCAAUUCCUUGCACCAAGUCGCCAAGGUCUUCCCAAAAUUUCUCCUUCGAACUCGUAUCCAACCCUACUUGAGGUGCGUACGCACUAAUCACAUUGAUAAGUUCUUGUCCUAUUACAAUCUUGAUUGCCAUGAUUCUAUCUCCUACCCUCUUGACAUCUACAACAUCUUGUGUUGUCCACGAUGAUGCCAACACCGUUUCUCGUUCUAUUUGUGCCCGAAUACCAUAGUUUAAACCCUGAGUUUUCUAGAUCCUUUGCCUUACGACCAACCCACUUAGUUUCUUGUAGGCACAUAAUAUUUAUCCUUCUCCUCACCAUAACUUCUACUACUUCCAUAGAUUUUCCCGUCAAGGUUCCUAUAUUCCACGUUCCUAAACGCAUUUUGCUCUCUUGAACUCUACCCUUCUGUUCUAGCUUCUUCAAAAGCCUUUCUAAACAAAAAUUCAAAGUCUAAAAUUCAAAAUGUGUUUUUGAAUUUAAAAAGUUGAACUCAACUAUGAUACCAAAUAUGUCCUUAGUUCUAACUUAGAAACAGUUUUUCUCCUCCAAUGGUUUUGGGUUUAAAGUUUUAGCCCGAAAUUAUUAAAGAAUGAUUUUAGCCUUUUUUUUGGGUAACUUCUUUAAAAAUAAUUUUUUUGUAUAUUAUCCUAAUUUAUUUUUAUGAAUAUUUUAAGGGUAAAUUACAUAGUAGCCCCUCAGGUUUGAGGUCUAUUAUAACCCCAUACAACAUCUUUAAAAUAUUCAUUUUCAUACCUCAAGUACUAUUUUAUUUCAAAAUAAUACAUCUGUUACAUUUUCCAUCCAUUGAUGACGUGGCUGCCACAUUUGUGCCACGUGGCUGCCAAAUGUGUGCCACGUGGCAAACAAAAUUAAAAAAAAAAAAAAAAACCUGAAUCUUCUACAUUAAAAAAAAAAAAAAACCAAAAGCUGAACUCGCAACCCACCCACACAACCUGCACCCCAGAAGAAGAAGAGGAGAGGAAAAAAAAAAUCCCAUCUUCAUCCCCCAACCCACCUUCCUUGCAACCCACUCGUUUCUUCCCCCUCCCGUCUUCCCCAAACCCACCAUGCACCCAUCCUCCACCUCCUCCUCUGCACCCACUACCUGCAACCCAUAAAAGAAAAGAAAAAAAAAACUCAUCUCCCUUUCCCUGCAACCCAGAUCCCGUCUUCUCCAAUGAGUGUGGAUUUAAGGAGUGAGGUGUGUAGAGGAGGGAAGUGGAUGCGUGCGAGGGUGGGUGCGCUGGGUUUUUUUCUUCUUCUUCUUUCUGGGUUGCAGGUUAGGGUAGCGGAAGAUGGGUGCGCGAAGAAGGUGGAGUUGGGUGCAGAGGAGGAGGUGGAGGAUGGGUGCGGACCGUCGGACUUCGCCAGGUAUGCGUUUUGGGUUUUUUUGUUUAGGGGGGGAGGAAUAAUGGGAUAUGGGGGUUUUUUUAAUGGGAACUGGGCGAUUUGGGUUUUUUUGUUUGUUGGGGGGGGGAAUAAUGGGAUAUGGGGUUUUUUAAUGGGAACUGGGUUUUUGCGGCGGGGGGUGGGGUGGGGUAAUGGAUUGGGGUUUUAGAGUUUUUUUUUUUUUUUUAAAUUUAGAAGAUUAAGGUUUUUUUGUAAUUUUUUUUUGCCACGUCGUAUAUAUGUGGCAGCAACAUCAGCACUUAACGGAUCAAUUGAUGGAAAAUGUAACGGAUGUAUUAUUUUGAAAUAAAAUAGUACUUGAGAUAUGAAAGUGAAAUGUUUUAAAGAUGUUGUAUGAGGUUGUAAUAGAUCUCAAACCUGAGGGGCUACUAUGUAAUUUACCCAUAUUUUAACCUAAAAAUAUUUAAGUCCCGAUAGAUAAUGAAAAAUUACUAAACUUACAUCAUUCUUACAAAUAUGCACCACAUGAAAAAAAACAUGGAAAAUCACACACCAUACCCCAUUCUUAAAAACAAAUACAUAGAUGGGUAGAAAGAAAAAAAAGGAAGAAUUGUUUGACGAAAAAGUGAAUUUUGUAUGUAUGUUUGAAUAAAUACAUAUCACACACCCCGAUCGAGAUCGAAGCAUGCUGGCCAUCACGUGAGGGUGACGUAGCCAUGUGCAUAGUGCGGAAGCAAUAAAGAUAAGAAAUAUACGAAUAAAUAAAAACCGAAAGCUACUAAUGUGCACUAAUAAACAUGAAGUGCUAGGAGUGAGAUACAAGUGUAAAUACCCCUAAUCAAAGCAUAGAAAGUCUAGGUGCAGUCCAGUAGGACAAGUACUAGUUAUACAGUACCAGAAAACGUCCUACAAAUAUUUUAUUAUGUCAGAACCGCCGAAAUCCUCAUACGCCACCAAUAGCAAGACUACCUAAAACCUGGAGGGGCGCAAAACAGAAAGUGUGAGUGGGCAAAAACAAAUGUUUUUCAAAACCAUUUCAUCAUUAAAAUGCUCUAACCCCUCGCCGUAAAACAUGUAUAAUUUUCCCAUAAUAGAAUAUAAACAUAUGCAUAAAUAUAUAUAUGCAUAUUUCAAUUCAAAUCAUGCUUCAUAUAAUCAUAUUCAUAAGUAUACCAUGCCAAAACAUAAAGUAGAAUAAGUAACUUAGGUGAGAAUAAAUUCAUGGAAAAUAACGUAUUAGCCGGAACCCCUACAUAAGUAUGUACGGCUGAAUUCAUAGCUCAUUAUUCAAUAUAGCCGGAGUCACUACAAGGACUUAUACGACACUACACUGCACAUAAGUCGAAACCACUAAAAGCGGUCUGUACGACAAGACUGGUGUAAUAUAAUUAUGCUCAAUACUACGUUCUCAUGAUAGCUGGGCGAUAAAUCGCUAGUCACCUACGAGUCGGAACCAUGAAUAAGGUAUAUACAACAAGACUGUACGACAAGACUGUGCACCUAAAUGGGAUCCAAUGUGAGCAUAUGGUGCGGGAGGUGACAUUAUAAAUAGGCAUGUGCCAUAUCUCUGUCUAAAUCACAAUCACCCUAGGUGCAGGUUUAUGAGCUCAAUGUUUCUCAAUCACAACUUUAAUCACAAUCACAAUUCAUAACUCACCUGGGCUUAGCUGAGCGUCCACAACACCACAAUUAUAUAAUAUGCGUCAUAUACCAAUUCAUAUACAUAAUAUAAUUUCAUAUGCAUGGCAUUUUCAAGGCAUACUUUCAUUUAAACACAUUUUCUGGGAAAAUAUCAAGUAUAUAAAUAUAUACUAAAAACCAAAAGCCCACUCACUGGUAUGUCAAAGGGUUGUAGCCCCCGAGUCACCCUUGACUGCGCUUGUCCUCGGGAUAAGUCUCUCCUAUAUGCGAAACAACUAUAAAAAAGUUAAUUUAAAGCACAUAACCAAUACUAGCUAAUAACUUCUCAUACAAUGCUCAAAUUGGGUGUUUGAAUAUACCAACGUGAUCUACACAACCUUACGAACAUUCCCAUAUUUUAAGAAUAAUUUUUGGACGUCCCACGCGCCGGCAAAGGCACGGCAACACGCGCGGCCACGUGCAAGGACCCUAACGGAAUCUCCUAACCCCAUUAGGAAUAUUCCAUUACAUAGUAACGGAAUAUGUUAAACUAACCAACGCCGUUAGGAAUAUUCCAUCAAAGUUGACGAAAUAUUUCGUCAUCCCCUACCUCAGAACUCCGGCGACCGUCGCUGGAAAACUGGGAAAUUUUCAAACCUUUAUUUCUCGUCCAUUUCUCAGUCAAAUUUCAUGAAACUUAAACCAAUUUGAAGCUUGACAUGAAUAGAAUAAAACCAUAGCUUUCAAGAGCCUUAAAAUCCACGAAACUCGCCGAAAAUGAAGAAGUUAGAAGGAUUUUUAGAUUUUCCAGUUUCCGGCGACGGCGACGGUCGUCGGAGUUCGAAGGUAGGAGAUGAUGGAAUAUUCAUUCAAUUUUGACGGAAUAUUUCUAACGGAAACUAACGGCGUUAGUUAAAUUUAAUGGAAUAUUCCUUAAAUUUAACGAAAUAUUCCUAACGGCCAUUAGGUCUCAGUUAAGGUUUGGCCGCGUGUGGCGCGUAGGGCCAUGCCCUUGCCGGCGCGUGACGGCGCGUGAGGGCUCCAAAAAUUAUUUUAAAAAUUUGGGCGUGUUCCUGAGGUUGUGUAGAUCAUGUUGGUAUAUUUAAACACCCCAUUUGGGCAAUAUAUGAGAAGUUAUUAGCCAAUAUUGGUUAGGUGCUUUAAAUUAACAUUUUUAUAGUUGUUUCGCAUAUAGGGGAGACUUAUCUCGAGGACGAGCGCAGUCAAGGGUGACUCGGGGACUACGACCCUUCGACAUACCAAUGAGUGGGCUUUUGGUUUUAAAUAUAUAUGUAUAUGCUUGGUAUCUUUCCUAGAAAAUGCAUUUAAAUGAGUUAUGACUUAAAUUGCCAUGCCAAAUGUUUUACAUUUAGAAUAUGCAUAUGAUGUUUGCAUAUAUAUAUAAUUAUGGUGAUGUGGACGCUCAGGUAAGUCCUAGGUGAGUUUAUGAAUUGUGAAUGUGAAUAACAGUUGUGAUUAAUUAAGGAACAAUGAGCUCAUAAACCUGCACCCCGGUGUUAGUGAUUUAGCCAGAGAUAUGGCACAUGCCUGUAUAUAAUAUCACCUCCCGCACGAUAUGCUCACAUUAGAUCCAAGUUAGGUGCACGAUCUUGUCGUACAGACCAUUCUAUGUGGUUCCGACUCGUAGGUGACUAAUGAUUUAUCGCACAGUUAUAAUGAGAAUGUAGUAAGGAGCAUAGUUAUAUUACACCCAGUCCUGUUGUACAGACCAUUACAGUGGUUCCAACUCGUGUGCAGUGUAAUGCCGUAUAGGUCACUUGCAGUGACUCCGGCUAGAUUGACUAGUGAGCUAUGAAUUCAGCCGUAUAUACCUCUGCAAAGGUUUCGGCUAAUAUGUUAUUUUUCCAUGAAUUUAUUAUCACCUGAGUUACUUAUUCUGUUUCAUAUUUUGGCAUGGCAUACUUAUGAAAAUGGAUAUGUGAAGCAUGAAUUGAAAUAUAUGUGUAUAUAUACUUAUAUAUUUAUAUUCCAUUUCUGGGAAAAUUAUACAUGUUUUACGGCGAGGGGUUAGAGCAUUUGAUAAUGAAAUGGUUUUGAAAAGCUUUGUUUUUGCCCAUUCACACUUUCUGUUUUGCACCCUUCCAGGUUUUAGAUAAGCUUGUUCGUUGGUGGCUCAUGAGGAUUGGCUGGAGGUUCUGACUGACUAUCACAAAUGUAGGGCAUUUUUUGGUGUCGUUUAAUUAGUGCUUGUUUUCUGGAUUGAACUUAGGCUAGUUAUGCUUUGAUUGUGUAUUCACACAUUUUCUAGCACUUUCCUUAGCUAGUACUCUUAUGAAUUGGUUGUUAAUUAUUCGUAUUCUCUAUUAUCAUUAUUGAUUCCGCACUGUGUACAUGGCUACGUCACCCUCACGUGACUGCCAGCAUGCCCUGAUUUGGGUCGGGGUGUGUCAGUUUGGUAUCAGAGCCUAGGUUUAGCAGUCUUGUAUUGUUUAUGAAUAUUCUAAUCAUUGUGAUGUCUUCUGUCAGAAUCAUGCCACCUCGUAGUGAGCCACGUCACUCAGCCAAGCUAGUUUCCUUGAUAUUGCUCAAUUAGGGGAAGUUAUAGCUAAUUCCAUUCAGUCUUCGCUCCGUCAUCCUCAAAGGAUACCUCUUGAGAUUGUGUAAAAUCUGAAGCUGAAUCAUUUUAUGGGGAAUGAAGGGCGUGAAGGAGCGGAGAAAUGGAUCAAUGAUAUUGAGAAGACUUUCUGUGUGAUGCAGAGUCAAUGGAAUCUUCCUUCUGAUAAAUGGGUUGAGACGACUACCUGGUUUUUGGGCCGAAGCCUGCAUCUUGGUGGAGACAGGAGUCUUAUUAGUUGACCCCAAAGGAGAUUGGGGACUGGGAAUUAUUUAACCAUAUGUUCCUAAAAAGGUUUAUUCCCCAUGAGUAUAUUGAUCGUAAAAAGCAAGAGUUUACUUAAUUAAAGCAGGGGAAGAUGACGACAAAUGAGUAUUAUAGAAGAUUCACUGACUUGUCUCGCUAUCAUCCGGAGGCUGCUGCUAAUCCAGUUGAGAUGCUCCGUCGUUUCAGGUUGGGCACUAAAAAGAAAUGGCGUUCUAUAGCGACAUCGAUUUCCUGUGCCACUUACAAGGAGUUUUAUGAGGUUUUACUGCGGAUUGAAGACUCAGAAAACAUGCCCAGUGAAAGUGAAGAUGAAGAAGAAAAGAACGAAAACCAGAGGUGAGAUGAUAAAGGUAAAGGUCAAUCUUCUCAGGGACCUCGUAAGACUCAAAGUUUUAAGAGAAGUGGUGUCAGUUCCAGCUCUUCUAGUAGAGGUUUGAGCUCUAACGUACAGAUGAGAGGUGGUAGAUUUUCUAGAGGCCCUAGAUUUCAGAGGUAGAGGGAUUUUGGUGGUUCAGGUGCUCCUUUAUGCCGCAUAUGUAAUAAUAGGCAUUUUGGAGAGUGUAGGAGAGGCAUCAGUGGAUGCUAUACUUGUGGGCAUAUGGGGCAUAGGGUUGCACAGUGCCCUCAGAAUCAGCAAAGGCCCCAACAGUUUUCCUUACCACCACCUGCGCCGACCCAUCAAGACCUAGUGGUUAUGCCCAGACUGGUCGUGGUGCUGCUUAUCAUUAUUAAGGCGACACCGCUCCUUAUACUACAGGGCAGUAUCAAUACUCGUAGGACCUUCAUUAUUAGGGUGGUUACCCUUAGUAUCAGGGAGGUUUAUGCCUUAUCAGCCACAUUCAGCAGGUAGAUCCCGGUGGUACUAGGGGGACAUCCCCAACAGGUAGAAAUUGCUGCUAGCAGUGCAGGAUCUUUAAGGUAGUCUGGUUAGCCAAGACAAGGAAGAGGCAUUCAUGCUAAUAGAGGUCCUGGUGGACGACAACAGAAUCAGGGACGUAUCCAUAACAUGGUACUGCAAGAUACUCAGAACAAUCCUGAUUUAAUCAUGGGUACAUUAAAUGUUCUUGGUCAUUUUGCUAGAGUAUUGAUUGAUUGUGGUGCUACGCAUUCUGUUGUUUCUCAUACAUUUGCUGAAAUGACCCAACCUCAUCCUACACCUCUAGGAUAUGAUUUAGAGUUUUCUAUGCCUAGAGGGGAGAGAUGUUAUGUUGAUUGAGCAUAUCCAGGAUGUCCAGUGAUGGUGGAUGAUGUUGUUAUGCCAACUAACCUUAUUCCGUUAGACAGUUGAUUUUGAUGUGAUUUUGGGCACUGAUUGGUUACACUGCAAUCGUGCCAAGAUAGAUUGCUAUGGAAAGACAGUUACUUUUUAUCGUCCUGGAUUGCCUGAACUUACAUUUGUAGAGAUGUGGAGUUCGCUAUUAAUCUGCUUCUAGGUACGGAUCCUAUAUUUUUUACUCCUUAUAAAAUGGCUCAUGCUGAAUUAAGGGAAUUGAAAGUUCAGUUGCAAGAAUUAGUGGAUAAAAUUUUUAUUCAGCCUAGUACUUCACCUUGGGGAGCUCCAGUUUUAUUUGUGAGGAAGAAGGACGAAACUUUGAGGCUAUGUAUUGAUUACAUGCAAUUGAAUCGGGUAACAAUUAAGAACCGUUAUCCAUUGCCACGUAUAGAUGAUUUGUUUGAUUAACUCCGAGGUGCCUGUGUGUUCUCUAAGAUUGACUUAAGGUCUAGUUUCUACCAGUUGAAGAUUAAAAGUGAAGAUGUCCCGAACAGCAUUCAGGACUCGGUAUGGUCAUUAUGAGUUUCUUGUGAUGUCGUUGGGUUAACUUAUGCACCAGCAGCUUUCAUGGAUUUAAUGAAUCGAGUAUUCCAGCCAUAUUUGGACAGGUUUGUCAUUGUCUUCAUUGAUGAUAUUCUGGUAUACUCUAAGACUAGAGCAGAGCAUGCUAGACAUCUUAAAUUGGUGUUGAAAAGUUUGAGGGAACAACAGUUAUAUGCUAAGUUCAGCAAAUGCCAAUUCUGGUUAGGUCAAGUGGCAUUUUUAGGACAUGUUAUAUCAGCUCAAGGCAUUCGAGUGGAUUCUCAAAAAGUGGCAGCUAUGGAGGAUUGGGAGCAACCUCGAACUGUCACUAAGGUACGGAGUUUUCUUGGCCUAGCAGGCUAUUAUAGACGGUUUGUUAAGGAUUUUUCAGUCAUUGCUUUUCCAUUAACGAGGUUGACUAGAAAAGAGGUUAAGUUUGAUUGGGAUGAUAAUUGUGAGCAAAGUUUUCAGCAGUUGAAGUAUUAUCUCACUCAUGCACCUGUUUUAGCACUCCCAGAUGAUAGUGGUAAUUUUGAGGUCUACAAUGAUGCUUCUUUGAAUGGUCUGGGUUGUGUAUUGAUGCAACACGGUAGGGUGAUUGCUUAUGCUUCGAGACAGUUGAAACCUCACGAGAAGAAUUACCCUACUCAUGAUCCAGAGUUAGCGGCUAUCAUAUUUCCUCUGAAGAUUUGGAGACAUUAUCUUUAUGGUGAAAAAUGUAAGAUCUUAAUGGAUCAUAAGAGUCUUCAGUAUCUGUUUACUCAGAAGGAUCUAAAUCUUCGGCAGCGGAGAUGGAUUGAGUUACUUAGCGAUUAUGAUUGCACGAUUGAGUAUCACCCUGGUCGUACAAAUGUAGUGGCAGAUGCACUUAUUAGGAAGACUCCAGCUAGACUUAAUGCCAUCUAUGAUUGUCAUGUUCCUCUUCUUGCCGAUUUGAGGUCCACUGGAGUAAAGUUAGGAGUGGAAGAUCGAGAGAAAGCCUUACUUGCGAAUUUUCAAGUUAGGCCAAUUUUAAUUGAUCGCAUGCUUGAAGCUCAGAUGAUUGAUGAAGAUACCCAGGAAAUAAUUCAAGCAAGAAAUCGAGGCAAGAAGAAAGAUUUUAGAAUUCGAGAAACUGAUGGCAUGCUUAUGCAAGAAAACAGAAUGUAUAUGCUGAAUAAUGCAGAGUUAAAGAAAGAAAUCCUUGAUGAAGCACAUAUUUCGGCAUAUGCAAUGCAUCCAGAAGGUACCACGAUGUAUCAUACCAUUCGACCAUUUUAUUAUUGGCCGGGUAUGAAAAGAGAAGUUGUUGAAUAUGUGAGUAGGUGUGUCAUUUGUCAGCAAGUUAAAGCAGAAAGAAAUAAACCUUUUGGAUUGAUGCAGCCACUUCCCCUUCCACAGUGGAAAUGGGAAAAUAUUACUAUGGAUUUUGUGUACAAACUUCCUUGUACACAUAAUGGUUAUGACGGCAUUUGGGUGAUAGUUGAUCGGCUCACUAAGUCAGCACACUUUAUUCUAGUGCGGGAAAAAUAUUCAUUAAGUCGAUUAGCUAAGUUAUUGAUAUCGAAGAUUGUGAAGUACCAUGGUGUUCCAAUUGAUAUUAUUUCGGAUCGAGACCCUAGAUUCACUUCUAAGUUCUGGGUAGCGUUCCAGGACGCUCUUGGUACAAGAUUACUUUAUAGUACGGCAUAUCAUCCUCAAACAGAUGGACAAUCUGAGAGGACUAUUCAGACAUUAGAGAAUAUGCUGAGAUAUUCAGUGCUGCAAUUUGGCGAUGGUUGGCAUGAUUGUUUGGGUUUGAUGGAGUUCGCCUACAAUAACAAUUAUCAUUCGAGUAUUGGUAUGGCACCAUUUGAGGCACUUUAUGGCAAGUAUUGUUGAACGCCAUUAUGCUAGUCAGAAGUUGGUGAAAGAGUUUUGGUGGGCCCGGAGAUUGUGGAUGAAACUACUUAGAAUAUUCAGGUAAUUAAGUCUAACCUGAAAGUGGCCCAGGAUCGACAAAAGAGCUUAGCAGACAAGCAUGCCACUGACUGGAUGUACAAUGUAGGUGAUUGGGUAUUUCUAAAGCUAUCACUAUGGAAAUGUGUUGUGCGGUAUGGAAAGAAAUGCAAGCUGAGUCCUACGUACAUUGGACCAUAUAUGAUCACCGAGCAAGUUGGUGAGGUUGCUUAUACACUUGAGUUGCCUCCAGAGUUAUCAAGAAUGCAUGAUGUGUUUUAUGUUUUAAUGCUUUGACAUUAUGUUGCAGAUCCUUCACAUGUGAUUCCUCCUCAACCAUUGGAAAUUAAUUCGGAUUUAACUUACGACGAUGAGCUGGUGACUAUUUUGGAUUGGAAAGAUAAGGAGUUGAGGAAUAAGACAGUGCAUCUGGUGAAAGUUCUAUGAAGAAAUCACUCAGUGGAAGAGGCUACUUGGGAGACAGAGGAUCGGAUGAGAGAGAUGUAUUGGUAUGGCACCAUUUGAGGCACUUUAUGGCAAAUCUUGUCAAACGCCAUUAUGCUAGUCAGAAGUUGGUGAAAAAGUUUUGGUGGGCCCGGAGAUUGUGGAUGAAACUAUUAAGAAUAUUCAGGUAAUUAAGUCUAACUUGAAAACGGCCCAGGAUCGAUAAAAGAGCUUAGCAGACAAGCAUGCCACUGACCAAAUGUAUAAUGUAGGUGAUUGGGUAUUUCUAAAGCUAUCACCAUGGAAAUGUGUUGUGCGGUAUGGAAAGAAAGGAAAGCUAAGUUCUAGGUACAUUGGACCAUAUAUGAUCACCGAGCGAGUCGGUGAAGUUACUUAUAGACUUGAGUUGCUUCCAGAGUUAUCAAGAGUGCAUGAUGUGUUUUAUGUUUCAAUGCUUCGACAUUAUGUUGCAGAUCAUUCAUAUGUGAUUCCUCCUCAACCAUUGGAAAUUAAUUCGGAUUUGACUUACGACGAGGAGCCAAUGACUAUUUUGGAUUGGAAAGAUAAGGAGCUGAGGAAUAAGACAGUGCAUCUGGUGAAAGUUCUAUGGAGAAAUCACUCAAUGGAAGAGGCUACUUGGGAGACAGAUGAUGGGAUGAGAGAGAUGUAUCCACACUUGUUUUAUGACUAUUAGUGGAUGUAUUUGUUGUGUAUAAUUUCGAGGAUGAAAUUUUAUAAGGUAGGUAGAUUGUCACAGCUCGUCCCGGAAUAUUUAGUUUCAACGGUGUGAAAUGACGGUUUUAUCCUUGGACGUUGAGAUUGUGAUGUGUGUGACAUGCUUUUGGGAUGUAGACCAAUAUGUUGAGUUUCUAAGUUUUGGACUCAAUUAAAAUUUAAACUUUUGUUUGUUUUGGUUGGUGACCAAGUGAAGACACACACACACACACACAAAAACAACCUCGUGCACACUCUCUCCUUCUCAUUCUCUCGGCUUUCCUACCAUUUCUGUACAAAACGUACGGAUGAACACCAAACUCACAUUUCCAAACGGAACGACGUCAAGAAGGUAAGAUUCGAACUCUUUGCAAGUCUCUGAGUUCAUGUAUGCCAUUUUUAGAUCGUGAAACCCUCAAAACCCCAAGAAACCAUCACCCCCAAUUUGAGUAUUGUUCAUGUGGUCGUAAUUAUGGAUGUUUCAAGGGAUUUUAAGCUCAUAGGAAGCUUUAGGAUGUUCUUACGAAGCUCGGAGAAGAAAAACCAAGAAAUUGGACGUCGGGAAGUCGAGUUUGGCGAGUUUGAAAGUUGGCUGGAAUUAUCGUGCCUUCUCCGGCGAGAUCCCGUGAUUUUUAUAGCUUGAAAUUGGUAAGAAUGUGUUCUACUCAUUUUAAGCUUCAAUUUGGUUUAAGUUUCAUGAAUUUUGGUGCAAAAAUGAAGAAGUUAGAAGGAUUUUUAGAUUUUCCAGUUUCCGGCGACGACGACGGUCGUCGGAGUUCGAAGGUAGGAGAUGACGGAAUAUUCCGUCAAUUUUGAUGAAAUAUUCCUAAUGGCGACUAACGGCGUUAGUUAAAUUUAACAGAAUAUUCCUUAAAUUUAAGGGAAUAUUCCUAACGGCCAUUAGGCCUCAGUUAAGGUUUGGCCGCGCAUGGGGGCGCGUAGGGCCGUGCCCUUGCCCGCGCAUGAUGGCGCUUGAGGGCUCCAAAAAUUAUUUUAAAAAUUUGGGCGUGUUCCUGAGGUUGUGUAGAUCACGUUGGUAUAUUUAAACACCCCAUUUGAGCAAUGUAUGUGAAGUUAUUAGCCAGUAUUGGUUAUGUACUUUAAAUUAACGUUUUUAUAGUUGUUUCGCAUAUAGGGGAGACUUAUCCCGAGGACGAGUGCAGUCAAGGGUUACUUGUUGGCUACGACCCUUCGACAUACCAGUGAGUGGACUUUUGGUUUUAAUAUAUAUGUAUAUGCUUGGUAUCUUUCCUAGAAAAUGCAUUUAAAUGAGUUAUGACUUAAAUUGCCAUGCCAAAUGUUUUACAUUUAGAAUAUGCAUAUGAUGUUUGCAUAUAUAUAUAUAUAAUUGUGGUGCUGUGGACGCUCAGGUAAGUCCCAGGUGAGUUUAUGAAUUGUGAAUGUGAAUAACGGUUGUGAUUAAAUGGGGAACAUUAAGCUCAUAAACCUGCACUCCGGUGUUAGUGAUUUAACCAGAGAUAUGGCACAGACCUGUAUAUAAUGUCACCUCCUGCACCAUAUGCUCACAUUGGAUCCAAGUUAGGUGCACAGUCUUGUCGUACAAACCAUUCUAUGUGGUUCCGACUCGUAGGUGACUAGCGAUUUAUCGCACAGUUAUAAUGAGAAUGUAGUAAGGAGCAUAGUUAUAUUACACCCAGUCCUGUCGUACAAACUAUUACAGUGGUUCCGACUCGUGUGCAGUGUAGUGCCGUAUAGGUUACUUGCAGUGACUCCGGCUAGAUUGACUAGUGAGCUAUGAAUUCAGCCGUAUAUACCUCUGCAAGGAUUCCGGCUAAUAUGUUAUUUUUCCAUGAAUUUAUUAUCACCUAAGUCACUUAUUCUGUUUCAUAUUUUGGCAUGGCAUACUUAUGAAAUUGGAUAUGUGAAGCAUGAAUUGAAAUAUAUGAGUAUAUAUACUUAUAUAUUUAUAUUCCAUUUCUGGGAAAAUUAUACAUGUUUUACGGCGAGGGGUUAAAGUAUUUGAUAAUGAAAUGGUUUUGAAAAGCUUUGUUUUUGCCCACUCACACUUUCUGUUUUGCGCCCCACCAGGUUUUAGAUAAACUUGUUCGUUGGUGGUUCACGAGGAUUGACUGGAGGUUCUGAUAGACUAUCACAAAUGUAGGGCAUAUUUGGGUGUCGUUUAAUUAGUGCUUGUUUUCUGGACUGAACUUAGGCUACUUAUGCUCUGAUUGUGUAUUCACACAUUUUCUAGCACUUAUCUUAGCUAGUACUCUUAUGAAUUGGUUUUUAAUUAUUCGUAUUCUCUAUUAUCAUUAUUGCUUCCGCACUGUGCACAUGGCUACGUCACCCUCACGUGACGGCCAACAUGCCCUGAUUUGGGUCGGGGUGUGUCAUUUAACCGAACUAUUGGAGUUGGUAUAAUAGAUAUAGAGAUCACCAACACAUGUUGGCCUUAUCUUUAUUAAAAAAAAAUGAUACAAAUAUAAUAUAAAAAAUGUGGUAAAAAUAAUAUUUUUGUUUAUAAAGUGCCCGUAGUUGUUGGUAAGAUUCUUAAUUACCAAAAAAUGAGUGAUGUUAUGAGAAUCACAUUUCACAUCUAACUCAUCUAUCAAAAAGACAUGGGGGCGUACACAAUAAAUGAUUUAGUAUUCGUCAACAGUGAAAAAAAAGAAAAGAAAAAAGAUGCAUGGUUUAGUAUUCGUCAACUGUAAAUUAGAGCAUCUUUAAUAGAAGAUACAAAAUAUUUUAGAGGUUUUUUAGCUAAAAUGAUUUAUGAGAUUUGUUUAACAUGGUUUAGUAUUCGUCAAUUGUAAAUUAGAGCAUCUUCAAUGGAAGAUAGAAAAUAUUUUAGAGGCUUUUUAGCCAAAAUAGUCUAUGAAAUUUGCUUAACUCCUCACUUUGGUUCCUAAGAUUUGAAAUCAAUAUAAAUGAUCCUUGAGAUUGUCUACCAUUAAUUAUUUUGGUCAUUCAGUGAAUAGUUAUGUUAAAUAAAAAUUUAAAUGACAAAACUACCCGUAAUUUAGUAAACAAUAGGCCAAAAUAAUUUGACAAAAAUUGAGGGUAUUUUUGUCAUUUUAUCCUUAUUUAAUGGAGAUUUUUCAUCAAAGAACCAAAAUGAUUGAUGGUGGACCAACUUAGUAACUAAUUCUAUCGAUUUCAAAUCUCAAAGACUAAAGUGAGGAGUUAUGCAAAUCUCAGAAAUCAUUUUAGCUAAAAAGCCUACUUUAAAUAUGCAUUGUACAUUUGUCGUUGGUUUGACAAUUCUAACAAAAAGGAUAUAAGUAAAUGGUGGUUUAUCCACGAACCCAUUAUUAUUUUUUACACACCCCUCUAAAUUUUCGGUUAUCUGAUCGAAUAAAUUGAUGAAGAUUAGUGGACAAAAAUUAACACAGUGUAUGAAAGGUAAAAAGAGGAGGGUAAAUAACACCAACCUAAUUAAAUAAAAAUAUAAAACCAAAAAAAAAUUAAAAAAAGAAAAAAGAAAAGUAAACGAAAUUUCAAAUCACAUCUUUGAUUUUUACAUCUUCCAAAAAUAUAAAAUGAAUUAUAAAUUAUAUCUUAGUUGGAAAGCUCCAACAUCUACUACUCAUGUUAAUUAAAAAACACCUUUUUCCUUGUAUUAAUAUGAUGUUUUCAACUUGAGAGAUUUUCUCGGAACACCACAUAAUGUUACACAAUUGAACGGAGACUUAAAAAAAAAUAUUUUCAAUUGUAUAAUGACAUGUGAUGUUUUAUCUGAUGCUCCGAAUACAUUGAAUAAAAACUCUCUUUGAACUGAUUUAAACAGUUGAUUAUCUUGUCCACAAGUGCUUUUGUUGGGGAAAUUUUUUAGUAUGCUGAAACACUAUUUUAUACACUGAGUGUUAUGAGUAAUUUUUUUUGUUGGGGAAAUCUUUGAUGUAUCUCGUCUUCUUUCACUGAAAAAUAUAUGUUGGUCCAAAAGUCUUCGCAACAUGGUCCACUUGUUAAACACCGUGCAGACACUAAUUGUCCUUUUCUGUAAUCUGAAUGUAUAUAUAAGUUAGAGAACCAACACCAACACCAACACCAAAACCACUUCCUUGCUCGCUUCCUCUCUCUCUCUCUCUCUCAUUGUCAGUUACGUUAAACUCGCAAUGGAGCAGCUCAAUCCCAGCCCUGCAAAUCUCUGCCCUCUCACUCCCCUCACCCUGCUAGAAAGGGCAGCCAUCGUCUACGGCGACUGCCCCUCCGUCGUCUACACCACCACCACCUACACGUGGUCCCAAACACACCGCCGAUGCCUCCAGCUGGCCUCCUCCCUCUCAUCCCUCCUCGGCAUCAAACGCUCCCAAGUCGUCUCUGUAAUCUCGCCCAACACCCUUGCCAUGUACGAGCUCCACUUCGCCGUCCCCAUGGCAGGAGCCAUCCUCAACACCAUCAACACCCGCCUCGACGCCCGCACCGUCUCCGUCAUCCUCCGCCACAGCGAAUCAAAACUCAUCUUCGUCGACCACCUCUUUGCCUCUCUCGUACUGGAAGCCCUCUCGCUCUUCCCACCUCAGCUUCCUCGUCCCCAACUCGUCCUCAUCACCGAUCAUCCGAAGGACGGAUCAAUUCCUACCGUCGAUCAUUUCAUCGACACUUACGAGAGUCUAGUGCGAAAAGGGGAUCCUUUGUUUAAGUGGGUCCGGCCGGUUUCCGAGUGGGACCCAAUCGUUUUAAACUACACGUCCGGAACGACGUCGGCUCCGAAGGGGGUUGUGCAUUGCCACAGAGCCGUUUACAACGUGGCCCUGAGUUCCCUCACGGACUGGUCCGUGCCCAAAAACUGCGUCUACCUAUGGACCCUACCGAUGUUCCACGCAAACGGGUGGUGCUUCCCGUGGGCCAUGGCCGCCGUCGGCGGGACAAACAUUUGCGUCCGCAAAUUCGAUGGCCCAAAAAUCUACGAAUUAAUCGAAGAUAACGGCGUCACCCACAUGUGCGCCGCGCCCGUCGUGCUCAACAUGCUCAUCAACACCCGGAGGUCCGACCCGCUCCGAAACCCAGUUAACAUUCUUACCGGUGGGGCUCCGCCGCCUUCGAGCGUCUUGCUCCGGGCCGAGUCGAUCGGGUUCGUAGUGGGUCACGGGUACGGGAUGACCGAGACAGCGGGGGUCGUGCUGUCAUGCGCAUGGAAGCCGGAGUGGAACAAACUCCCGGCGAUGGAGCAGGCGAGGCUGAAAGCGAGGCAGGGAGUGAUGACGAUCGGCAUGACGGAGGCGGAUGUGGUGAAUCCGGAUUCAGGUUUGAGUGUGAAUCGGGACGGGUUGGAAAUCGGGGAGAUAGUUUUGAGAGGCGGGUGCCUGAUGCUCGGGUAUCUGAAGGAUGCAGCGGGAACUGCCAACUGCAUGAAAGACGGCUGGUUUUAUACAGGUGACGUGGGGGUGAUGCAUCCCGACGGCUAUUUGGAAAUCAAGGACAGAUCCAAGGACGUUAUUAUAAGCGGGGGUGAGAACAUGAGCAGCGUGGAGGUCGAGUCCGUGCUGUAUGGGAACCCAGCUGUCAAUGAGGCGGCGGUCGUGGCGAGGCCCGACGAGUUUUGGGGGGAGACGCCGUGCGCGUUCGUGAGCCUGAAGAGUGACGUCAGCCCAAAGCCAACGGAGA